AUACUCUUUGGCAGCACAUAUACUAAAAUCAGAAUAUACAGAGAUUUAUCAUGGUCUCUGAGCAAGGAUGACACACAAAUUUGUGAAGUGUUCCAUAUUUUU
This is a small nuclear RNA of Suncus etruscus (white-toothed pygmy shrew), 102 nucleotides long. NCBI's taxonomy places the organism in Eukaryota, Metazoa, Chordata, Mammalia, Eulipotyphla, Soricidae. The record is from RefSeq and is a predicted model, not a curated record.